This 253-nucleotide ribosomal RNA is filed under the name uncultured bacterium. RNAcentral's name for it is "partial 16S ribosomal RNA". It matches the Rfam family "Bacterial small subunit ribosomal RNA", at positions 524 to 776 of the family's 1533-position model. The record is from RNAcentral.
UACAGAGGGUGCAAGCGUUAUCCGGAUUCAUUGGGUUUAAAGGGUGCGUAGGCGGCCCGGUAAGUCAGUGGUGAAAUCUCCUUGCUUAACAAGGAAACUGCCAUUGAUACUGCUGGGCUUGAGUACAGAUGCUGUGGGCGGAAUAUGACAUGUAGUGGUGAAAUACAUAGAGAUGUCAUAGAACACCGAUUGCGAAGGCAGCUCACAAAACUGUAACUGACGCUGAGGCACGAAAGUGCGGGGAUCAAACAGG